CCCCCGGUCAGAGCAGCCAGGAGGAGGCAUCCUGUCUAGACGUCCUGCCUAUGUGAGGAAAGAUGGGGGUUAGUGGGUGCUGAAAGAGCACCUUUUGAGUGUUAGCCACAAUGAGUUAACAGAAAGGAAGAUGGAGGGUAUAAAGGAGGCAUCAUUCUGGAGAAGGGUACGACUCUCUAUUAGCUUCAACAACCUGUGGACUGAUGGAAGAAGAUUUCUGCUGUAGCUUUUUAGCUUGAAAUGUAUUUUUAUAUAUAUUAAACUCAUAUUUAGAUUUAUAUUAUACUCAUAUUUAGAUUUGUAUUAUACUCAUAUUUAGAUUUAUAUUAUACUCAUAUUUAGAUUUAUAGCUUGAAAUACAUUCCGUUUUUUAUUAUUCUCAUAUUUAGAUUUGUAUUAUUCUCAGUUAAAGUAAAAUUCUAGGAGGGAUCCUUAAGGUUUCCUCAAUGAUAGAAGUGUGUUAAAGUAGCUGGUAGAGUUUUUAGACGCCAACUGAGGGACUGAUCAUCCUGAGGGGGGAGAUAAAAAACAGUAUAUAAAGUUGUAGAAGGUAAGAACCUGUUUUUCUAUAUAUUAAUUACUGUGCUUCUCAUAAAGUUGUAAAAAUACAAAACAUAUUGUAUUGGCAAUAAGGGUAUAGUUAAGGGCGUUGAAGGUGUCUAUCAAUUUAAUUUACUGUUGAUGUUGCUUAUCAUUGAUUGGCGAUGUUAAUUUGUGAUUGACUGAUUGAUCUGGAAUAUUUUAUCCAUGUUUCUGGAAUGUUGAAUAAAGUUGCUUUAUUGUUCUGAAA
Molecule: non-coding RNA, 790 nt
Organism: Salmo salar (Atlantic salmon)
Lineage: Eukaryota; Metazoa; Chordata; Actinopteri; Salmoniformes; Salmonidae
Source: RefSeq, a predicted model, not a curated record